GCGGGGGUUCCCGAGCCAGGUCCAAGGGGGCGGAAGAAGCUGAGAAGCUCUGCCUAAACUCAAGAGGUGGCCUGGGGUAUCCGUUGGCGAAGGCCAUCGUGGGUUCAAAUCCCACCCCCCGCA
RNAcentral lists this transfer RNA (123 nucleotides) under Thermoprotei archaeon. RNAcentral's name for it is "tRNA-OTHER". The record is from RNAcentral. Lineage: Archaea; Thermoproteati; Thermoproteota; Thermoprotei.